Molecule: ribosomal RNA, 737 nt
Filed under: uncultured cyanobacterium
Lineage: Bacteria; Bacillati; Cyanobacteriota
Description: bacterial SSU rRNA
Rfam family: Bacterial small subunit ribosomal RNA
Source: RNAcentral
UUUGAUCCUGGCUCAGGAUGAACGCUGGCGGUAUGCUUAACACAUGCAAGUCGAACGGGACUAUACGUAGAAUCUGCCUAAAGGACUGGGACAACAGCUGGAAACGGCUGCUAAUACCAGAUAUGCCAGAAAGUGAAAAGGGGUAACCCGCCUUUUGAUGAGCUCGCGUCUGAUUAGCUAGUUGGUAGGGUAAAGGCCUACCAAGGCACCGAUCAGUAACUGGUCUGAGAGGAUGACCAGUCACACUGGGACUGAGACACGGCCCAGACUCCUACGGGAGGCAGCAGUGGGGAAUUUUCCGCAAUGGGCGCAAGCCUGACGGAGCAAUACCGCGUGAGGGAGGAAGGCUCUUGGGUCGUAAACCUCUUUUCUCAGGGAAGAACACAAUGACGGUACCUGAGGAAUCAGCAUCGGCUAACUCCGUGCCAGCAGCCGCGGUAAUACGGAGGAUGCAAGCGUGAUCCGGAAUGAUUGGGCGGAAAGCGUCCGCAGGUGGCAGUGUAAGUCUGCUGUCAAAGGUCAGGGCUCAACCCUGAACAGGCAGUGGAAACUACACAGCUAGAGUGCGGUGGGGGCAGAGGGAAUUCCCUGUGUAGCGGUGAAAUGCGUAGAGAUUGGGAAGAACACCGGUGGCGAAAGCGCUCUGCUAGGCCGCAACUGACACUCAUGGACGAAAGCUAGGGGAGCGAAUGGGAUUAGAUACCCCAGUAGUCCUAGCCGUAAACGAUGGAUACUAG